Molecule: long non-coding RNA, 245 nt
Organism: Sciurus carolinensis (gray squirrel)
Lineage: Eukaryota; Metazoa; Chordata; Mammalia; Rodentia; Sciuridae
Exons: 3
Source: RefSeq, a predicted model, not a curated record
CAAGGCCGGAGCCUGAAUUAAAGCUCUUCAAGGAAGAUGGAGCAAAGGUCUUGGCUGCACAGGACCAUGGAGGGAGCACUGCACACAAUGGAAUCAACUUUCAUCUAUUCUUUAAAGAAAGCAAUAAAUGUUGCAGGCCUGUUUAUCAAAGGAACAAAUAUGAAAGGAAAGAUGUUGCUUUGAAGAGAAUAUGGAUGAAUUCCUGGCAAAUGAGGGCUCGAGGUGCAAUUUCCUGAAGUUCAAAU